This 1372-nucleotide long non-coding RNA is filed under the name Salvator merianae (Argentine black and white tegu). RNAcentral's name for it is "lncRNA (ENSSMRG00000014728.1)". The record is from RNAcentral. Lineage: Eukaryota; Metazoa; Chordata; Lepidosauria; Squamata; Teiidae.
GGACAAAGCCACUUGGAUGUGUUUUCCUCAAUAGCUAGGAGGUACUAGGGCUGCCGAGAUUGGAGGCAGAAAGGGAAAGAAUGAGGAGCGGCUUCUUUUUCNUUUUUAAUGGUAAAAACCAGGGAGAUUGAGCAAGGAAAGAAGGAAAGAAGCGAGCGUGCGAGUCGCGCCUGGGCUGGGCAAGGCGGACGGCUGUGUUUUCCCCCACGACUCGCAGCCGGAGCUUUCGAGGCGCUCAAGAUCAGCUCCUGUGGGAUCUUCCUUGCUGAGUACUUGCUGUCAAUGAAUGGUCUCAUGAAUCAACUAUUCUUGAUGAACCCUUCUCCUUCCUCCCAUGAUUCUAUCCUUUCCAAUGGAUGGUUGCCAUCUACCCCAACAUUCAAGCUAGGAGAAACAUCCCUCAUUGCAAAGAAAAAUUAGAGAAGAGGAGGAGGAAGAAGAAAGAGAAGGAGGGGAGGCAUCAUUUGCAACCAUGGACAUUUUUGUGACUUUUGUGUCUGUUGCACUGGAUUAUGAAAUUCCUGAUUGUAAAUGUAUGUGCUUACAGGUUAGUUUGCAAAUACUGUGGGCCUCUUUGGGCUUACCCGCUAGUGAGUGAGCAGAUGCUCACCAGAUAAGUAUGUUCACACUCCCCUGCUGCCACAGUGACUGGGAGUGCCUACAGUCACUCCCAAAUGCUACUAGUUGUGGACAACAAAAUUGUUGUCCACAGCUUGACUGGGAGUGGCUAGGUUGCUCCCAGUCAGAAUGUUCGCACCUUCUUUUGGUGUGACUGCUGCGAGUCGGUGGCAUGGUAUGACUGUAGUUGUGCAGUCAUGCCCCAUGUCCCCAAUUACCAUGGCAAUGGUUGGCCAUUGUCACGGCUGCUGUCAUGGUGGCUGGACCAGCCAUCUGCACUGUGAAUACUGGAGACCUGAUACAGGGCUGUUCCAGCCCUUGCAGUGCAGAUGACCGCCACGCUGCAGGAUCUUUUACAGCUUAGAAUGGUAUAAUUCUAGGUUGUCAAGUGUGAACAGGGCCUGUGUUGCUAUCAUUAUUGGCGGUUGUGACAACCGUAGGGGUAGUGAAGCAGAGGAGGAGGUGGGGCUCCGACUGGNGGUUGGUUCUGUUGUAUGAAUUGUCUGUGAUUGUUGAGAAUUCUACUUAAUUCAGGCUUUUUAAAAAAAAAAGUUUUCCUGAAACUAUUUACUAGCAUGAUGCUCUGUUGAAGGUGUAAUCCACCUGCCAUGGAUUAAUGGUGUUUAAUGAUGUUUUAAAUAGGUUAAUAUUUUGUUUAAAAUUGGUUUAUAUUUUAAUGCUAUUCAAUGCAACCUCUUGCCUUUUUUGUUUUCUUAAGUAAGGUCAUUUAUAAAUAAAUAAGCAUAAACAUACA